UAGGGAAUCUUCCGCAAUGGACGCAAGUCUGACGGAGCAACGCCGCGUGAGUGAAGAAGGAUUUCGGUUCGUAAAACUCUGUUGUUAGAGAAGAACAGCGCAUAGAGUAACUGUUAUGCGUGUGACGGUAUCUAACCAGAAAGCCACGGCUAACUACGUGCCAGCAGCCGCGGUAAUACGUAGGUGGCAAGCGUUGUCCGGAUUUAUUGGGCGUAAAGCGAGCGCAGGCGGUCAAUUAAGUCUGAUGUGAAAGCCCCCGGCUCAACCGGGGAGGGUCAUUGGAAACUGGUUGACUUGAGUGCAGAAGAGGGGAGUGGAAUUCCAUGUGUAGCGGUGAAAUGCGUAGAUAUAUGGAGGAACACCAGUGGCGAAGGCGACUCUCUGGUCUGUAACUGACGCUGAGGCUCGAAAGCGUGGGAAUCAAACAGG
RNAcentral lists this ribosomal RNA (429 nucleotides) under Bacteroidota bacterium. Its description in RNAcentral is "Bacteroidetes bacterium partial 16S ribosomal RNA". It matches the Rfam family "Bacterial small subunit ribosomal RNA", at positions 355 to 776 of the family's 1533-position model. The record is from RNAcentral. Lineage: Bacteria; Pseudomonadati; Bacteroidota.